GAUGAUUUGUUUGCAUCUUCUCUGGACUUGGACGAUUUCUUAAUUAAAAAAAUGCAGGAACAGAAUUCACUUGAAACUGAAACUGGUUUUUGUGAACUUGAUUUUUGUGAUUCUGUUUUGCAGCCUGAUCUCUUGAGUUUUGAAACUGAUAAGACUUGGCAUUUUCUGAGAUCAUUUCGUGAUAAUGGUGUUGUCUUGAGUUCUGAUGAAAUUUUGGUUUACAACACAUUCUUUGAGAAAUGCCUUGAACUUUUGAUAAAUGAUUCUCAAACUGAACUUAAGCUUGUGUGUUCAGAUGUUGGGAAGGAUAUGCCCAUCUUGAAAAUGAAUAUUGUUGUUGCAUAUCUUGAUAAAAUUCUUGUCUGUAAUAUAUAAUUUGAUGAGCACCUUGAAAGGCUGAAAAAUGUGCAAUUUGUUCUUGGAAAAGAUAUCUUGAUUUGUGAUUUGAACAAAUAUUUAUCUUGCACAUUUGAUCCUGGUCUUUUAGUGUUUAUUUUGAGUAUACAGGAAAGACAGGUUCAGCCUCUAAGAAUUGAAAGCAUUGACCGUGCCCAACAGCCUGAGUUUUGGAGAAGCUUUGUUGAAACCGGCUACCUUGAUGCCAGCGACAGAGGUUCAGUCCAAGAAGGAUAUCGCAACAGUACGAAGGUCUUUUGUCUUGAAUCCAAUUUUAAAAGAAAGCCAACUCAUCAAGGAUUCACUGAGGCUUGGAAUCGCAUGAAAAUCUUCACGGAUGAAGAAGUUAUGAAUUUUCCAAACCGGAGGUUCUUCAGUCCAUCUAUCCGCGAGUACCAGAUUUCUAAAGGAGAUUCAUGCCCCAUAAAGAAUCGGCCUGAGCCAAAACCGAUCCUCCAUGAACCAAAGGUGUUUCCUCAGUCAUUCUCCUGUCUAAACCAAAAGCACUUUAAGGAUCAUGAGUUGAUUGCCUCUACUCUUCAUGAAAAUGUUUUGAAACCGAGAAUUUCAAAAAGAAAACAUAUUCUUACUUGGUUGAAAAACGUUUUGCUCAAACCUUUUCAUGAAUUGAUUUCAUUGAGCUGUGCUUUGAAAGAGAUUUGGUGUAGGAAAAAGCAUGAACUAAAAUUUCUUAGGCCAAAGAAUUCUUUUGAUUUCGUUCAUGAUGAUAAUUUUUCAAAUUUGGCAUUGUCUCUUUCUUUUCCUGACCGUUUAUCAGCUUGGCCUAAUUUUAAAAUUGAUAAACCAAUUUUUGGUGAUCAGCUUACUUGUUUGAUGCUUGCCCACGUGCUUGAUGAUUAUCCUAAGGGCUUGGAUCCUGAUCUUGAUGUCCUAAAGAUAGAGAAACCCUUUGAUUAUUUCUUUGGCAGAUUUGAUGUGGUUUCUCUAGUUGCUUUGAAUAAACAUGAUAAGCAUGAUCAGUUUCUAAGGAGAGCAAGC
This 1395-nucleotide long non-coding RNA is filed under the name Brassica rapa (field mustard). RNAcentral's name for it is "long non-coding RNA (BRAP_LNC008640)". The record is from RNAcentral. Lineage: Eukaryota; Viridiplantae; Streptophyta; Magnoliopsida; Brassicales; Brassicaceae.